AUCAUAUUUUGUGGCAAAAUCGAUGAGUACCCCCCGAACUAACACCUAAUGGGCCGUUCUAUUUUUAGCACAAUAUACACAUCAAUUUCAUGCAUAAAUGGGGUAAUUUCAGCAAGUCAUUAAAAUAUCAAAAGCAGAAAAAUCACAUAUAAUUUCAGUUCCGCAUAGUCUAUUCGAACGGUAUCUUUGAAUUGGUGAACAUAACUUUAAAAUUCAUUCUCCAGAUUUAAGUCGUGUAGUGUUUGAACUAGUAAGUUUAUGUAACUUUCAAAUUAAAUGCUAUUUUUAGUGAGUCAUAAAACCCCAAGAAACGCUUAAAAUAAAUAGUUUCAUGGUUUAAAACACAGAUUUAUGCAGAAAUUAUCACUACUAAAUGGGAAUUUGGUUGCAAAUAAAUAGAAAGUAAUUUCUUUGGGGUAUAAAAUUCGGAAAUUUUAUCAAAAAAUUAUCUCCCUUUGUGGAACUCUCAUGGGAAGAAGGUAGGGAAGAAUGAUUCAUAAGGCAGAUGACAACAACAUGGAAUGGGUGGAAAGUGAUGGAAGAUAAAUUUAUAGCCUUGGUGAAAAUUUCAAGGAAAGAGGGAGUUUAUUUACAUCAGGAUUGCAAGAAGUAUACUUCAGCACAGUUGAGAUUUUUAAAUGUCCAUCAGAAAUUGUGUGAAUUCCAGAAUCAUUGUUCACUGCACUGCACGGCUGAUGUGCAUCAACUAUGAAUAUGAUCUAGACUUAACAGACAUCAUCAUGCCUAUGCCAGUCAUAGACAUUGACAUUGAAUAAAGAACAACAUGUUGUCACCCAUUACAUGACAAAUCUAACUCAGAUGUGAAAGGGGGGGGGGGGGUGACUCCGUGACUCCAAAGCCGAUAGAUCUGCCACAUUGCUCAAGCUGCCAUUGAUUCUGGUAAGUUAACUUUUUUUUAUCUUCCUGCACUAACAGAUACUGAAAUAUGCACUUGUGCAUAAAUACUCAUGGAUGAAAUUUUUAAAAUUUUACUUCUAUUUGAAAUUUUUAAGAUAUCAAUUUCCUCAAUGCACAAUUUUCUAGAUUAAAAUACUGUUACAACAUAUUUAGGAAAUACAAUGAAAUUUUAAUAUAUGUGUUUGGUGUUUGCAGACAAGGCAAUACAUUGAGAAACACAAAAGUUGGGUCCAGAUUAAGACAGAUGUAAAGAAAGAGUUGAAAGAUGUGUUCUGAAGUAAGACAGCCAUACCCCUGCUUUCCAAGGAACCAAACAAUUACUUUCCUUGUAUUGACAUGGUGAAAAAUGGGGAGUGUCCAGAAAAUGACGAAGACCUCCAGAAUGUCAUCAGUGAUAUUGUUGCAAUUGAAUGUAGCCAAUUAUUAUCCAAUAUAUAUUAUCUAUGACUGAACUCAUAAGUGGUUAAGGAAAAUGUUUUAAUUUUUUAUUCAGGUUAUUUAAUCCUUUAGGUUGAAAUAAAUAUCUACUGCUUGGAGGUUAUUUUACAUCUCUCAGGAUUUUCUAGAUGUCAGAUUUCCUAAAACUCACACUUUUGUUUCAUUUUUUUUUUUUUUUUGAAUAAAUGUACAGAAAAAUUGAAUAUUCUUCUAUGGGAUAUUUUUGCCAAUAGUUUCAGUUGAAAGUUGCAACAACAACAAAAACAAAAACAAAACAAAAUAAACAAAAAAAAAGAAAAGAAUUGCAAUGAUUAAAUCUGUAUGUUUAUAAUGAAUGUGUCUUUCAUGAUCUUGUAUGUGACGUUCAUGAAUUUUUGACAUUACCUGACUUACAGUGGAAUAUCACCCCCCCCCCCCCCCCCC
This is a long non-coding RNA of Ostrea edulis (European flat oyster), 1779 nucleotides long. RefSeq lists it as uncharacterized. The transcript has 2 exons. NCBI's taxonomy places the organism in Eukaryota, Metazoa, Mollusca, Bivalvia, Ostreida, Ostreidae. The record is from RefSeq and is a predicted model, not a curated record.